GGGCGCGCGGAGACUAAAUUCAUGCUAGAUAAGAGUGCUGGCUUUGAUGUGGUUGAAUGCUUGCUCACCGUCACACAGCUGGAGAGACACAACUGGAGAUAAGGAAACCGAGGCCCGGAACAAUGAAGGAAGCUG
Long non-coding RNA from Rhinopithecus roxellana (golden snub-nosed monkey), 135 nucleotides. RefSeq lists it as uncharacterized. The record is from RefSeq and is a predicted model, not a curated record. NCBI's taxonomy places the organism in Eukaryota, Metazoa, Chordata, Mammalia, Primates, Cercopithecidae. The transcript has 3 exons.